This 253-nucleotide ribosomal RNA is filed under the name uncultured bacterium. RNAcentral describes it as "partial 16S ribosomal RNA". It matches the Rfam family "Bacterial small subunit ribosomal RNA", at positions 524 to 776 of the family's 1533-position model. The record is from RNAcentral.
UACGUAGGGUGCGAGCGUUGUCCGGAAUUAUUGGGCGUAAAGGGCUCGUAGGCGGUUUGUCGCGUCGGGAGUGAAAACCAGGUGCUUAACACCUGGCUUGCUUUCGAUACGGGCAGACUAGAGGUAUUCAGGGGAGAACGGAAUUCCUGGUGUAGCGGUGAAAUGCGCAGAUAUCUGGAGGAACACCGGUGGCGAAGGCGGCAUUCUGGACCGAUAUUGACGCUGAGGAGCGAAAGCCAGGGGAGCAAACGGG